This 251-nucleotide ribosomal RNA is filed under the name uncultured archaeon. Its description in RNAcentral is "partial 16S ribosomal RNA". It matches the Rfam family "Archaeal small subunit ribosomal RNA", at positions 731 to 982 of the family's 1478-position model. The record is from RNAcentral.
AGAUACCCCUGUAGUCCCAGCGUAAACUAUGCUCGCUAGGUGUCAGGCAUGGCGCGACCGUGUCUGGUGCCGCAGGGAAGCCGUGAAGCGAGCCACCUGGGAAGUACAGCCGCAAGGCUGAAACUUAAAGGAAUUGCGGGGGAGCACAACAACGGGUGGAGCCUGCGGUUUAAUUGGACUCAACGCCGGACAACUCACCGGGGGACGACAGCAAUAUGUAGGCCAGGCUGAAGACCUUGCCUGAAUCGCUG